RNAcentral lists this ribosomal RNA (732 nucleotides) under uncultured Leptotrichia sp. RNAcentral describes it as "bacterial SSU rRNA". It matches the Rfam family "Bacterial small subunit ribosomal RNA", at positions 28 to 776 of the family's 1533-position model. Lineage: Bacteria; Fusobacteriati; Fusobacteriota; Fusobacteriia; Fusobacteriales; Leptotrichiaceae. The record is from RNAcentral.
GAUGAACGCUGACAGAAUGCUUAACACAUGCAAGUCUUUGGCGAAGCUGUGCUUGCACAGCCUAGCCAAGGCGGACGGGUGAGUAACGCGUAAGGAACUUGCCCUGCAGUCAGGGAUAACAGACGGAAACGACUGAUAAGACCUGGUAAAGUCAGGCGGACUCAUGUCCAGCCUGAUGAAAAGAGAUGCUGCAGGAGAGCCUUGCGUCCUAUUAGCUUGUUGGUGGGGUAACGGCCCACCAAGGCAAUGAUAGGUAGCCGGCCUGAGAGGGUGGACGGCCACAAGGGGACUGAGAUACGGCCCUUACUCCUACGGGAGGCAGCAGUGGGGAAUAUUGGACAAUAGGGGCAACCCUGAUCCAGCAAUUCUGUGUGCACGAUGAAGGUUUUCGGAUUGUAAAGUGCUUUCAGCAGGGAAGAAAAAAAUGACGGUACCUGCAGAAGAAGCGACGGCUAAAUACGUGCCAGCAGCCGCGGUAAUACGUAUGUCGCAAGCGUUAUCCGGAAUUAUUGGGCAUAAAGGGCAUCUAGGCGGCCAGAUAAGUCUGGGGUGAAAACUUGCGGCUCAACCGCAAGCCUGCCCUGGAAACUAUGUGGCUAGAGUACUGGAGAGGUGGACGGAACUGCACGAGUAGAGGUGAAAUUCGUAGAUAUGUGCAGGAAUGCCGAUGAUGAAGAUAGUUCACUGGACGGUAACUGACGCUGAAGUGCGAAAGCUAGGGGAGCAAACAGG